ACGGUCAUAGCACAUUGAAAAACACCGGUUCUCGUCCGAUCACCGAAGUUAAGCAAUGCCGGUGAAGAAACUCUGCCUUUGCUGGUCCC
Non-coding RNA from Cordylochernes scorpioides, 89 nucleotides. The record is from the annotation of a GenBank genome assembly. Lineage: Eukaryota; Metazoa; Arthropoda; Arachnida; Pseudoscorpiones; Chernetidae.